Long non-coding RNA from Suricata suricatta (meerkat), 2151 nucleotides. RefSeq lists it as uncharacterized. NCBI's taxonomy places the organism in Eukaryota, Metazoa, Chordata, Mammalia, Carnivora, Herpestidae. The record is from RefSeq and is a predicted model, not a curated record. The transcript has 2 exons.
UGAAACCCCAAGCUGGUCGGUCUGUAUAGUUCCACAUGGAUUUUUCUUAAAAUCGCCUGAUUAGAACUUAAGAUUUUCCAAUUACUACUCAUUUACUAAAUGACCUAAUGACUAAAUUUGGUGGAUAUUUUUCAGCCCUUUCUUUUCCUGACGUCUCAGCAUUCUGAGACACCCAAACCUUUUUUUGGCCUUCCCUAAACUCCCACGGCCACCUCUUCUGGUUUCCUCCCCUCCUCUGCAGGGUGCCACAGUCCCCUUGCUGGCAUUUGCUCUGCACCCUACCCCCCAGUCUUAGGGUCAUCUAAUCGUCUGGCCUCAGGAGACUGCCAAAGGUCGCACUGGGUUUCAGUUUGACUCCGAAGGUUAGAGGGCAGGUCCUCGGAAAUUAGGCACCAUAACAGAGGUAACAGUUAACGGCAAGGGCUUUGGGGCUGACACUCGGGUUUAGAUCCCAGUCACUAGCUGUGAGGGCUCAGAAGCCAAGCUUCGGCUUUCUCACGUGUAAGACGGCGAUGGCAGCCACAGCACUGGCAGGACCACGAAAUGAAAUUUGCAGGUAAACUAAUCAGACUCAAAGUAACUGUUAACUACAGAAAAGGACUCCAGUCCGCUUACUUUUCCUCCUGCGGUCAGGACUUAAACUGCUUCAUUUAAGAGGCUUGAGCAAAUGGAAAAACCAGGUGCCUUUCUUAAGGCGAGGAUGUCCAGGCAGCCCCCCGAGCAGAUGUUCCGCAGGCGGGUCUGUAGAAGUCCAGCCUCCAGCCACGGACAAGCUCAGCGGCAUAAAUGGUCUUCGAGGGGCAAACAGACUACUGUGCGGAGCUGCGCCCAGUCCUGUCCGCUCUGUCUGCUGUCUCACUGUCCAUCCGCAGAACCCGCAAUACCCACAAAUCCCUUUCCCCUGCAUUGUCAGCAGCUCUUGACCUGAGCCCAUAAAUCCUGUCCACUCCACCUUCAGAUGGGCCAGAAGCCACCACUCCUCACCUCCACUCUGGUCCACGCCGUCACCUCUGGCCAGUUCUCACAGCUGUCCCCAGGCUCACCUUCCUGUUCCUGCCCCUGUCCUUGGUCUGCUCUCUGUCUCUCUACCAGAAAAAACACUUUUAGAAUUCUCUCACCCUUUUGUUCAAAUCCCUUAUCCAUGGUAUCUCCUCUCCAUCUCGUCCCCUUGGGAUUCCUCUGAAAUACUGCAAACACCACAGUGCCUUUAAGUCUCUGAGCUUUUAUGUUUGCUGCUCUGCCAGGAACACUCUUCCCCUGCGAGUGUCCGUGACCUGCUCGGGCCUUUACGAAAAUAUCACUAUUUUGGCAGCAUCGUCCCAGACAUUAGUUAAAACUGAACUCUCCAAACCAGAACUCCACAGAGCUACACAUCAUAGGGGCAAAAUGUUUACGCUCUCAUUUCCCAAUCCUCUCUAUCAGUGGUCCCCGCUUCAUAUUCUUUUAUAGCACUUACCACCAUCUAACACUAUAUAUUUGACUGACUUACUCUGUUUAGAGUUCGACUGACCGCACUAAAAUAUAAGUGCCAUACGUGGGAGGAUAUUUUUGUCACUUUUCAUCACUGCUACAUUCCUGGUGACUUGAAUGGUGCCCGACAUGUAGAAUGAGUGGAUACAUUCGAAUCUGAAGGUCAACUACCGGAGCAUUCUAGAACAGUAUGCUCAACAUUUUACUGGCACAGCAACCGACUGAACGGACUGUGGGGAAUAUCUUCUGGGUGUUGGGCAGUCCCCUUCCACUAGGCGCUGACAAAUGCUUAUUAAGUAUCUACUAUGGGUUUGCUCCCAAAGAGCAAGGUCUUCUUCCGCCUUGAAUCUGGGAAAGAAGGGCUAAUAGAGAAGGACCCCGACACCCUGAGGACCGGGGCAGGGUCUACGCACAUCUCCAGAUCUCCUCUCAAGGGGAAAACACAGACUUGUAUGGGAUUCUUGCAGGUGAUCUAGUUUAGGAUCUAGCACCUGAAGAUGGAGUGCUUCCCUGGAGCUGAAAUGCAGUGAGCCACGCCCAGCCGGCAGUGGGCCUGUCCUGGGACAGCACCACAGAUCAAACAGCAACAAAGGAAGUUUAAUCUCUGUACUUUGUAUUCGUAUUCCAGAAAUUCCUGAAACUCCCAGGGUGGCUGAAUAAAAAUUAGGCUGCUUUUUUUUU